RNAcentral lists this ribosomal RNA (400 nucleotides) under uncultured bacterium. RNAcentral's name for it is "bacterial SSU rRNA". It matches the Rfam family "Bacterial small subunit ribosomal RNA", at positions 111 to 509 of the family's 1533-position model. The record is from RNAcentral.
UAACGCGUAUCCAACUUCCCGUUAACUUGGGAAUAGCCCGGUGAAAACCGGAUUAAUGCCCGAUGUGGUCCAGCGAGGGCAUCUGACCCGGACCAAAGAUUUUGUCGGUUAAGGAUGGGGAUGCGUCUGAUUAGCUUGUUGGCGGGUAACGGCCACCAAGGCUACGAUCACGUAGGGGUUCUGAGAGGAAGGUCCCCCACAUUGGAACUGAGACACGGUCCAAACUCCUACGGGAGGCAGCAGUGAGGAAUAUUGGUCAAUGGGCGAGAGCCUGAACCAGCCAAGUAGCGUGGAGGAUGACGGCCCUACGGGUUGUAAACUCCUUUUGUACGGGGAUAAAGGAGCUUACGUGUAAGUUUUUGCAGGUACCGUACGAAUAAGGACCGGCUAAUUCCGUGCC